Molecule: ribosomal RNA, 859 nt
Filed under: Karstenula lancangensis
Lineage: Eukaryota; Fungi; Ascomycota; Dothideomycetes; Pleosporales; Didymosphaeriaceae
Description: Karstenula sp. CGR-2022c partial large subunit ribosomal RNA
Rfam family: Eukaryotic large subunit ribosomal RNA
Source: RNAcentral
GAAAGAACCAACAGGGAUGCCCUAGUAACGGCGAGUGAAGCGGCAACAGCUCAAAUUUGAAAUCUGGCUCUCUUUGGGGGUCCGAGUUGUAAUUUGCAGAGGAUGCUUUGGCAUUGGCGGCGGUCUAAGUUCCUUGGAACAGGACAUCACAGAGGGUGAGAAUCCCGUACGUGGUCGCCUGCCUUUGCCGUGUAAAGCUCCUUCGACGAGUCGAGUUGUUUGGGAAUGCAGCUCUAAAUGGGAGGUAAAUUUCUUCUAAAGCUAAAUACUGGCCAGAGACCGAUAGCGCACAAGUAGAGUGAUCGAAAGAUGAAAAGUACUUUGGAAAGAGAGUCAAAAAGCACGUGAAAUUGUUGAAAGGGAAGCGCUUGCAGCCAGACUUGCCCGCAGUUGCUCACCCAGGCUUUGGCCCGGGGCACUCUUCUGCGGGCAGGCCAGCAUCAGUUUGGGCGGUUGGAUAAAGGCCUCUGUCACGUAUCUCCCUUCGGGGUGACCUUAUAGGGGAGGCGCAAUGCAACCAGCCCGGACUGAGGUCCGCGCAUCUGCUAGGAUGCUGGCGUAAUGGCUGUAAGCGGCCCGUCUUGAAACACGGACCAAGGAGUCUAACAUCUAUGCGAGUGUUUGGGUGUCAAGCCCGAGCGCGCAAUGAAAGUGAACGGAGGUGGGAACCCUUUUGGGUGCACCAUCGACCGAUCCUGAUGUCUUCGGAUGGAUUUGAGUAAGAGCAUAGCUGUUGGGACCCGAAAGAUGGUGAACUAUGCUUGAAUAGGGUGAAGCCAGAGGAAACUCUGGUGGAGGCUCGCAGCGGUUCUGACGUGCAAAUCGAUCGUCAAAUUUGGGCAUAGGGGCGAAGACUAUC